GACAGAGGGUGCAAACGUUGUUCGGAAUCACUGGGCGUAAAGCGCGUGUAGGCGGCUACGUAAGUCGGACGUGAAAUCCCACGGCUCAACUGUGGAAGUGCGCUCGAAACUGUGUAGCUUGAGUCUUGGAGAGGAAGGCGGAAUACUUGGUGUAGAGGUGAAAUUCGUAGAUAUCAGGUAGAACACCAGUGGCGAAGGCGGCCUUCUGGACAAUGACUGACGCUGAGACGCGAAAGCGUGGGGAGCAAACAGG
RNAcentral lists this ribosomal RNA (253 nucleotides) under uncultured bacterium. Its description in RNAcentral is "partial 16S ribosomal RNA". It matches the Rfam family "Bacterial small subunit ribosomal RNA", at positions 524 to 776 of the family's 1533-position model. The record is from RNAcentral.